This 292-nucleotide ribosomal RNA is filed under the name uncultured bacterium. RNAcentral describes it as "partial 16S ribosomal RNA". It matches the Rfam family "Bacterial small subunit ribosomal RNA", at positions 505 to 796 of the family's 1533-position model. The record is from RNAcentral.
GUGUCAGCCGCCGCGGUAAUACGAAGGUGGCGAGCGUUACUCGGAAUUACUAGGCGUAAAGCGCAGGUAGGUGGUUGGAUAAGUCUGCUAUGAAAUCUCCCGGCUUAACUGGGAGGGGUUAGUGGAUACUGUCCGGCUCGAGUGUGGGAGAGGUAACUGGAAUUCCAGGUGUAGCGGUGAAAUGCGUAGAUAUCUGGAGGAACACCAAUGGCGAAAGCAGGUUACUGGCCCAAUACUGACGCUGAGCUGCGAAAGCUAGGGGAGCAAACAGGAUUAGAAACCCCCGUAGUCC